RNAcentral lists this ribosomal RNA (373 nucleotides) under uncultured bacterium. RNAcentral's name for it is "bacterial SSU rRNA". It matches the Rfam family "Bacterial small subunit ribosomal RNA", at positions 523 to 898 of the family's 1533-position model. The record is from RNAcentral.
AUACGUAGGUGGCAAGCGUUGUCCGGAAUUACUGGGCGUAAAGAAUGCGUAGGCGGUCUUUUAAGUGGGAUGUGAAAUCCCUGGGCUCAACCCAGGAACUGCAUUCCAAACUGGAAGACUAGAGUGCGGGAGAGGAAAUUGGUAUUCCCAGUGUAGCGGUGAAAUGCGUAGAGAUUGGGAGGAACACCAGUAGCGAAGGCGAAUUUCUGGAACGUAACUGACGCUGAGGCAUGAAAGCGUGGGGAGCAAACAGGAUUAGAUACCCUGGUAGUCCACGCCGUAAACGAUGAGUACUAGGUGUAGGGGCGCCAGCCUCUGUGCCGCAGUUAACACAUUAAGUACUCCGCCUGGGAAGUACGAUCGCAAGAUUAAA